UACGUAGGGUGCGAGCGUUGUCCGGAAUUAUUGGGCGUAAAGGGCUCGUAGGCGGUUUGUCGCGUCGGGAGUGAAAACCCCGGGCUUAACUCGGUGCUUGCUUUCGAUACGGGCAGACUAGAGGCAUGCAGGGGAGAACGGAAUUCCUGGUGUAGCGGUGAAAUGCGCAGAUAUCAGGAGGAACACCGGUGGCGAAGGCGGGUCUCUGGGCCGAUACUGACGCUGAGGAGCGAAAGCGUGGGGAGCGAACAGG
Molecule: ribosomal RNA, 253 nt
Filed under: uncultured bacterium
Lineage: Bacteria
Description: partial 16S ribosomal RNA
Rfam family: Bacterial small subunit ribosomal RNA
Source: RNAcentral